CUAUGAUGUCAGGAAGUAAAUGAUAGAAGAUGUCAGCUCUCCUAUCUAUAACCUCAGCUUUGCAGUUUCUCUGGGGGCCUCAUGCACUCUUACAGCUUCUUAAACAGGAAGUAGACCUGGCAAAAAAUUUAAGUGCGUUUUACACUUGAUAUACCACAGACUCGGCCAGAACAGUUCUAAACAGAAGACUUCACAGAAAUCCUGACACUUUGUUUUUUGCCAAAGAACAGUGUCUUUUUCAGAAAUGCUGAUUUUGGGAUCAUGGACAUUCUCCUUAAUUUCUCCUUAGCAAGUCUGUUGGAAGGAGGAAAUUGGUGCCUUUGAGCAGAUUAUCCCCCCCACACAACAGCGCUUGAUAAGGGACGGUAAGAAGCACAGGUGAGUGCUGUUAGAAGGUGGGGGUGGGAAAGAGGAGGAAGGCACAGGAGGAGUCAAUAAGAGGUUAAAUAGAAAGACCAGAGCAACCCGAGAGAGCCUGAGAGCACUGGGUGAUGAGAAGACCUGCAGGAAGGGAAUGGACACAAGAUAUGGAUGUGACAGUUGGCACUACAGGUCUCUCCAAAAGUAGGAAGUGCAAGGGCACAUGUGGAGCUGCCUAAAGUUUGCACAGAGAUAUUGCUCCAGAAACAGAAACCACACAGAAUUCCGCAGGCAUCUGAGCCUGGAGCAGCCUCAGCUGGGUGCCAUUUUGACCCCAGAUACUGGAGAUUUACAGACAUGGUUGCAGCCAUUGCACUGCUCCAAGGAGAGAGAAAGGAAAAUGGGUGCACUCAUGCACACUCAGGCAGGGACUUGCUCCCCUGCUACAAUCAUCUGUUGAGACUGAGACUCAAGUGGACCACACUUCCCACAGCUUCUUGCUCAUGCUGCCAGCCUGGGUGGUCCCUGGCUCUCUCUGGUCCCAAGCCCAAGGCUCUAUUUUGAGAGUUUAACUCUGGACUGUCCCCUAUCUUCAGCCUGAGCUCAGGCUGAUGCAGCUGCAACCACUGCCUGGCUAAGGAGGGACAGGGAGACCAGGUCAUCCUACUCAUAUCUAGGACGAUACUCACUGCUCUGCAACAGGCUGCUGUGAAACUGGCUGACAUGUGAGUGAACCACACUCCCCACAGCUUCUUGCCCAUACUGCUUGCCGGAGCAUUGCCCCAUUCUCCCUGGAUGUAAGCCCAAGGCAUCCUUUUGAGAGUUUAAUUCUAAGCUGCAUCUCACCAUCGCCAUGAGUAAACUAUGCAUUGGACCAAGGACUAAUAUCCAGAAUCUAUAAAGAACUUAAAGAAAUCAAGAAGAGGCCGGGCGCGGUGGCUCACGCCUGUAAUCCCAGCACUUUGGGAGGCCGAGGCGGGCGGAUCACGAGGU
This 1353-nucleotide long non-coding RNA is filed under the name Homo sapiens (human). RNAcentral's name for it is "HSALNT0303694". Lineage: Eukaryota; Metazoa; Chordata; Mammalia; Primates; Hominidae. The record is from RNAcentral.